This 110-nucleotide ribozyme is filed under the name Aedes aegypti (yellow fever mosquito). RNAcentral describes it as "drz-agam-1 ribozyme". It matches the Rfam family "drz-agam-1 ribozyme". Lineage: Eukaryota; Metazoa; Arthropoda; Insecta; Diptera; Culicidae. The record is from Rfam by way of RNAcentral.
UGCCCAGCAACUCCUAUCCCAACCUCCUCGCGGUACUGACUGGAGUAACCUUAGGGAAGAUUGGGUAACCAACCCCGGUGGGAACUCUGGUUGUAUGCUGACAGGGAAGG